CUACGGGGGGCAGCAGUGGGGAAUAUUGCACAAUGGAGGAAACUCUGAUGCAGCAACGCCGCGUGGAGGAUGACACUUUUCGGAGCGUAAACUCCUUUUAUAUAGGAAGAAGAUGACGGUACUAUAUGAAUAAGCGCCGGCUAACUCCGUGCCAGCAGCCGCGGUAAUACGGAGGGCGCAAGCGUUACUCGGAAUCACUGGGCGUAAAGAGCGUGUAGGCGGAUUAAAAAGUCAGAAGUGAAAUCCUAUAGCUUAACUAUAGAACUGCUUCUGAAACUCUUAAUCUAGAAUAUGGGAGAGGUAGAUGGAAUUUCUGGUGUAGGGGUAAAAUCCGUAGAGAUCAGAAGGAAUACCGAUUGCGAAGGCGAUCUACUAGAACAUUAUUGACGCUGAGACGCGAAAGCGUGGGGAGCAAACAGGAUUAGAUACCCUUGUAGUC
RNAcentral lists this ribosomal RNA (439 nucleotides) under uncultured bacterium. RNAcentral's name for it is "partial 16S ribosomal RNA". It matches the Rfam family "Bacterial small subunit ribosomal RNA", at positions 339 to 795 of the family's 1533-position model. The record is from RNAcentral.